UACGAAGGGGGCUAGCGUUGCUCGGAAUCACUGGGCGUAAAGCGCACGUAGGCGGAUUGUUAAGUCGGGGGUGAAAUCCUGGAGCUCAACUCCAGAACUGCCUUCGAUACUGACGAUCUCGAGUCCGGGAGAGGUGAGUGGAACUCCGAGUGUAGAGGUGAAAUUCGUAGAUAUUCGGAAGAACACCAGUGGCGAAGGCGGCUCACUGGCCCGGUACUGACGCUGAGGUGCGAAAGCGUGGGGAGCGAACAGG
This 253-nucleotide ribosomal RNA is filed under the name uncultured bacterium. RNAcentral's name for it is "partial 16S ribosomal RNA". It matches the Rfam family "Bacterial small subunit ribosomal RNA", at positions 524 to 776 of the family's 1533-position model. The record is from RNAcentral.